UACGAAGGGUGCAAGCGUUACUCGGAAUUACUGGGCGUAAAGCGUGCGUAGGUGGUUCGUUAAGUCUGAUGUGAAAGCCCUGGGCUCAACCUGGGAAUGGCAUUGGAAACUGGCGACCUAGAGUGCGGUAGAGGGUAGUGGAAUUCCCGGUGUAGCAGUGAAAUGCGUAGAGAUCGGGAGGAACACCAGUGGCGAAGGCGGCUUCCUGGCCUGUUCUUGACGCUGAGGCGCGAAAGCUAGGGGAGCAAACGGG
RNAcentral lists this ribosomal RNA (253 nucleotides) under uncultured bacterium. Its description in RNAcentral is "partial 16S ribosomal RNA". It matches the Rfam family "Bacterial small subunit ribosomal RNA", at positions 524 to 776 of the family's 1533-position model. The record is from RNAcentral.